GCUAGACAUGAAAGUUGAAAGGCCCUAUUGUUUAUGUUUAACUAGCAAGCUCAAUACUGCUGUAAAAGAAAAUUAUGUUAAAAAAAAUUCAAAGUAGAUGGCUCAUAUUAUUUUCCUACUGUGAUACAGGGACAUGACACAUUGAUGUACAAGUAACAUGUAUCCAUUCAUUACAUUUUUAUGUGACUUUUUUUGCAGCUUUUUCUUUC
This is a non-coding RNA of Biomphalaria pfeifferi, 209 nucleotides long. The record is from the annotation of a GenBank genome assembly. Lineage: Eukaryota; Metazoa; Mollusca; Gastropoda; Planorbidae.